CAAAUACUCUCUCCGUCCAACAAAAGAUGCUUCGAGUUUUUCAAAAUUUGGAUGUAUUUAGACAUGACUUAGUGUAUAAAUGCAUUCAAAUUUAGUUAAAGUUGAGACGUCCUUUGUUGAACGGAGGGAGUAUGUG
Molecule: non-coding RNA, 136 nt
Organism: Brachypodium distachyon (stiff brome)
Lineage: Eukaryota; Viridiplantae; Streptophyta; Magnoliopsida; Poales; Poaceae
Source: Rfam